AUGGACCUCAAAGCUGGAUUUCACCAGAUCAGGCUAGCUCCUGGAGAAGAGUACAAAAGUGCAUUUCAAACACACCAUGGCCACUUUGAGUUUCUUGUAGUUGCCAUGGGUUUGACUAGAGCUCCAGCAACAUUUCAAGGAACCAUGAACUUUGACCUAUCUCCUCUUCUCAGGAAGUGUGUACUAUGUUUCUUUGAUGACAUCUUAGUUUUCAGCAAAACAUUUGAGGAGAAUUUGGAGCAUGUUGCAUAG
This 252-nucleotide ribosomal RNA is filed under the name Triticum aestivum (bread wheat). RNAcentral describes it as "partial small subunit ribosomal RNA". The record is from RNAcentral. Lineage: Eukaryota; Viridiplantae; Streptophyta; Magnoliopsida; Poales; Poaceae.